UCCCUCUCAGGGUGGCACCUGGAGAGUUUCCAGUACUCUACCAGUCUCAGCUAUGGGAGGGAGAGUCAAGCAGAGGCAUAACCCAUUCCAUUCAUAGCUUGGCCAGUGGCUAGCGAGUGGAAGGCAAUCUGCUACAAGU
Molecule: small nucleolar RNA, 139 nt
Filed under: Ornithorhynchus anatinus (platypus)
Lineage: Eukaryota; Metazoa; Chordata; Mammalia; Monotremata; Ornithorhynchidae
Source: RNAcentral